CAGCAGCCACGGUAAUACGUAGGUGGCAAGCGUUGUCCGGAAUUAUUGGGCGUAAAGGGCUCGCAGGCGGUUUCUUAAGUCUGAUAUGAAAGCCCCCGGCUCAACCGGGGAGGGUCAUUGGAAACUGGGAAACUUGAGUGCAGAAGAGGAGAGUGGAAUUCCACGUGUAGCGGUGAAAUGCGUAGAGAUGUGGAGGAACACCAGUGGCGAAGGCGACUCUCUGGUCUGUAACUGACGCUGAGGAGCGAAAGCGUGGGGAGCGAACAGGAUUAGAUACCCCAGUAGUCCCUGUCUCUUAUAC
This 301-nucleotide ribosomal RNA is filed under the name uncultured bacterium. RNAcentral's name for it is "partial 16S ribosomal RNA". It matches the Rfam family "Bacterial small subunit ribosomal RNA", at positions 509 to 807 of the family's 1533-position model. The record is from RNAcentral.